AGAGUUUGAUCAUGGCUCAGAAUCAACGCUGGCGGCGCGCCUAACACAUGCAAGUCGAACGAGAAAGCCGCAAGGUGAGUAAAGUGGCGUACGGGUGAGUAACACGUGGAUCAUCUACCUUCUAGUGGGGAAUACCGUUGGGAAACCGACGACAAUACCGCAUAAGCUCGAGAGAGGAAAGCAGCAAUGCGCUGGAAGAGGAGUCCGCGGUCGAUUAGUUAGUUGGCAGGGUAAAGGCCUACCAAGACUGUGAUCGAUAGCCGGCCUGAGAGGGCACACGGCCACACUGGCACUGAAACACGGGCCAGACUCCUACGGGAGGCAGCAGUGGGGAAUCUUGCACAAUGGAGGAAACUCUGAUGCAGCGACGCCGCGUGAGCGAUGAAGCCCUUCGGGGUGUAAAGCUCUUUCGGCAGGGAAGAUUAUGACGGUACCUGCAGAAGCAGCUGCGGCUAACUACGUGCCAGCAGCCGCGGUAAUACGUAGGCAGCAAGCGUUGUUCGGAGUUACUGGGCGUAAAGGGUGCGUAGGCGGUCUUUUAAGUUUGGUGUGAAAUCUCCCGGCUCAACCGGGAGGGUGCGCCGAAUACUGAGAGGCUAGAGUGUCGGAGAGGUAAGUGGAAUUCCUGGUGUAGCGGUGAAAUGCGUAGAUAUCAGGAGGAACACCGGUGGUGUAAACGGCUUACUGGACGAUAACUGACGCUGAAGCACGAAAGCGUGGGUAGCAAACAGGAUUAGAUACCCUAGUAGUCC
RNAcentral lists this ribosomal RNA (752 nucleotides) under uncultured bacterium. Its description in RNAcentral is "bacterial SSU rRNA". It matches the Rfam family "Bacterial small subunit ribosomal RNA", at positions 8 to 796 of the family's 1533-position model. The record is from RNAcentral.